RNAcentral lists this ribosomal RNA (449 nucleotides) under uncultured organism. RNAcentral's name for it is "partial 16S ribosomal RNA". It matches the Rfam family "Bacterial small subunit ribosomal RNA", at positions 332 to 797 of the family's 1533-position model. The record is from RNAcentral.
UACACUCCUACGGGAGGCAGCAGUGGGGAAUAUUGGACAAUGGGCGCAAGCCUGAUCCAGUCAUGCCGCGUGAGUGAUGAAGGCCCUAGGGUUGUAAAGCUCUUUCACCGGUGAAGAUAAUGACGGUAACCGGAGAAGAAGCCCCGGCUAACUUCGUGCCAGCAGCCGCGGUAAUACGAAGGGGGCUAGCGUUGUUCGGAUUUACUGGGCGUAAAGCGCACGUAGGCGGACUAUUAAGUCAGGGGUGAAAUCCCGGGGCUCAACCCCGGAACUGCCUUUGAUACUGGUAGUCUUGAGUUCGAGAGAGGUGAGUGGAAUUCCGAGUGUAGAGGUGAAAUUCGUAGAUAUUCGGAGGAACACCAGUGGCGAAGGCGGCUCACUGGCUCGAUACUGACGCUGAGGUGCGAAAGCGUGGGGAGCAAACAGGAUUAGAUACCCGGGUAGUCCCA